Molecule: ribosomal RNA, 468 nt
Filed under: uncultured bacterium
Lineage: Bacteria
Description: partial 16S ribosomal RNA
Rfam family: Bacterial small subunit ribosomal RNA
Source: RNAcentral
GACGAACGCUGGCGGCGUGCUUAACACAUGCAAGUCGAACGGAAAGGCCCUGAUCUUGCUGGUUGUUCGAGUGGCGAACGGGUGAGUAUCACGCGAGUAACCUCUCCUUCCCUUUGCGAUAACUCCAGGUAACUGGGGCUAUUAUCCGAUAUGUGCUCCUGCUGCUUCGUGGGGGUUGUAGAGUUUCGGCGGUUGGGGAUGGACUCGCGGCUUAUCCGAUUGUUGGUGAGGUAGUGGAUUUCCAAGACUUUGACGGGUAGCCGGCCUGAGAGGGUGACCGGGCACAUUGGGACAGAGAUACGGCAGAGAGUCGUGCGGGAGACAGCAGUGGGGAAGAAUGCACGAUGGGCGGAAGCCUGGUGCAGCAUCGCCGCGUGCGGGAUGACAGCCUUCGGGUUGUGAGCCGCUUUCGCGUGUCACGAGGCGUGAGUGACGGUAAUGGGUAAAGAAGCACCGGCUAACUACGUG